GGCUGGGUAGUCUAGUGGUAGGUUGCUUGACUGGUAACCAAGAAUUGAUGGGUCAAGCCCCCAGUGA
This is a non-coding RNA of Gymnothorax javanicus (giant moray), 67 nucleotides long. NCBI's taxonomy places the organism in Eukaryota, Metazoa, Chordata, Actinopteri, Anguilliformes, Muraenidae. The record is from the annotation of a GenBank genome assembly.